UACCCAGCAACUCCUAUCCCUACCUCCUCGUGGUUCUGGCUGGGGUACGAGUAACCUUGGGGAAGAUCGGGUAACCAACCCCCUGUGGGAACUUUGGUCGUAUGCUGACAGGGAAGG
RNAcentral lists this ribozyme (117 nucleotides) under Aedes aegypti (yellow fever mosquito). Its description in RNAcentral is "drz-agam-1 ribozyme". It matches the Rfam family "drz-agam-1 ribozyme". The record is from Rfam by way of RNAcentral. Lineage: Eukaryota; Metazoa; Arthropoda; Insecta; Diptera; Culicidae.